UGGGGAAUAUUGCACAAUGGGGGAAACCCUGAUGCAGCGACGCCGCGUGAGCGAAGAAGGCCUUCGGGUCGUAAAGCUCUGUCCUAAGGGAAGAAGAGGACGGUACCUUAGGAGGAAGCCCCGGCUAACUACGUGCCAGCAGCCGCGGUAAUACGUAGGGGGCGAGCGUUAUCCGGAAUUACUGGGCGUAAAGGGUGCGUAGGCGGCCUUUUAAGUCAGAUGUGAAAGGCUACGGCUUAACCGUAGUUAGCAUUUGAAACUAAGAGGCUUGAGUGCAGGAGAGGAGAGUGGAAUUCCUAGUGUAGCGGUGAAAUGCGUAGAUAUUAGGAGGAACACCAGUGGCGAAGGCGACUCUCUGGACUGCAACUGACGCUGAGGCACGAAAGCGUGGGUAGCGAACAGG
RNAcentral lists this ribosomal RNA (403 nucleotides) under uncultured bacterium. RNAcentral describes it as "bacterial SSU rRNA". It matches the Rfam family "Bacterial small subunit ribosomal RNA", at positions 355 to 776 of the family's 1533-position model. The record is from RNAcentral.